Molecule: ribosomal RNA, 378 nt
Filed under: uncultured bacterium
Lineage: Bacteria
Description: bacterial SSU rRNA
Rfam family: Bacterial small subunit ribosomal RNA
Source: RNAcentral
AUUGAACGCUGGCGGUAUGCCUAACACAUGCAAGUCGAACGAGGUAGCAAUACCUAGUGGCGGACGGGUGAGGAAUACGUAGGGAUCUGCCUUUAAGUGGGGGAUAACCCGGGGAAACCCGGAUUAAUACCGCAUGAUCUCGCAAGAGCAAAGAGGGGGACCGCAAGGCCUCUCGCUUUUAGAGGAACCUACGUCGGAUUAGCUAGUUGGUGAGGUAAUGGCUCACCAAGGCGACGAUCCGUAACUGGUCUGAGAGGAUGAUCAGUCACACCGGAACUGAGACACGGUCCGGACUCCUACGGGAGGCAGCAGUGGGGAAUAUUGGACAAUGGGCGAAAGCCUGAUCCAGCAAUACCGCGUGUGUGAAGAAGGCCUCGG